Molecule: long non-coding RNA, 5622 nt
Filed under: Triticum aestivum (bread wheat)
Lineage: Eukaryota; Viridiplantae; Streptophyta; Magnoliopsida; Poales; Poaceae
Description: long non-coding RNA (TAES_LNC003905)
Source: RNAcentral
UGAAAUGCCUUGGCAAGAACAUCAUCUGAUAUUGGUGGGUCUGACCCAAACACUGCAUUGGCAAUUGUGAUAGCCCCUGGGUUCUGGCUACUUAGCGCGGCAAUUGCAACAGCGGGCUGGUGGGGGUUGUGGUUGAAUUGGAAGUGGAUGAGCCCCACGGGGAAGACAAACACAUCACCUUUGUUGAGCACCUUGGAGAAGAACUUGUUUUUGUUGGGGGCGGGCUGGUUGGAUGUCACAAAGCCAACGUACAGUGUUCCCUCGAGCACCGUGAGGAUCUCAGUGGCGCGAGGGUGCAUAUGUGGUGGGUUUUGACCCAAUGGAGCAUAGUCGAUGCGUGCAAUUGAGAUGCCGAGGGUGUUGAGUCCAGCAAUCUGCAUGACGUUGAUCAAAGUGACGUUGGAUCCAACCUUGUUGGGCAUCCUAGGCUUGUCGAGGUUGGCCGCCUUGAAGAAGUCGUCUGCUUUGACGUCCAUCGGGUCCUUGCAAACAAACCCGUUGACACGGACUGGGGCACAAGAGACGUACAUGUAAGCUCAGAUUUUACAAAGUUGAUUUGACUUGCAUAUAAUUUCCAGAAAUAGAUUUCAACAUAUGUAUUUGGUGAAAACAUGAUGACAAACAGAUAGUACCUGGUGAAUUCAUGUCGGCGACACAAAAGUCCUGGAGUGGGCUAGGAUCAGAAGCAGUGGCCUGCCUUGAGACCAGCGCAAGAAGUGCACCAAGGAGAAGGAAGGAAGAGGAGGAUGCCAUUUCGUUUUAGUGUCUUUGGCUCUUCCUUUCUCUCGUCUUCCUAUUUCUGUUUGUGGCGUGAGUGGUGAUGGUUUGAACAUGCAGGGGAUACAUGUGUUUAUAUAGGCGCAGAACUCGUGAGCAAUAGACAUAGUCAAGUGCAACCGAUUGAAGUGGUCUCUGGGUGCUGAUUAAACUAUAACUUUACAAGUUCCCUGUAAGACACGUUUUCACUUCGAAGAAGCAAUAUAAGGAAACACUCUCUAAUUAUGAAUGUUUCUCCAUCUCACCGAGUCGCCACAAUGCAUGCAGGGCUGGUUCCAGGAAAAGUCACCACCCAUCACUAUCAAGGAAAAUAUUUUUUAGAUAGGAAACACCGGCAAGAGAAAUAAAUGAAUUCCACUAGUGUAAUUAGAUACAGUAUCAUAUACUUCGUCAUAGUCUGAACUGAUGGCCUGAUGCGCAUGCACGAAAGUUAGUAAAAGAGCAGUUGAGGAAAGCCAUCAAUCGUUUUCUAGCUCAAGGUCAUACUAUGUCACCUAUUCGUGCGUGGGCUUGAUUCAUAUGGGUGCAUGAAUGACUUCUAAUGACAUAUAGAGUGACUCCUACUCCUGUUCUUUCCAGAAGUCGAUAUAGAAUAAUGUUUGCAAUUGAGCUUUUCAAACUAUGAAAUUAUAUAUUUGCCUAUAGAUUUGUCACGAAAUCCAGCAACAUAAGACGACGCGGCAGAUUGUGUGUGAACAAGGGAGAAACCGAGGCGCGUCGAUCCACACAUGAAUCCACCUAAUACAUCUGCUAUAUGUAGCAGCCCCUGUACGUUAUCAUCACGUCAAUCUGAUAUUUACUUGGUCAGAUGUCUCUCGAAGUACUUGAGUAUUUUCAGGAAGAAGCGGCGGCAUUAGUGGACCAAGUGCCCAACCAAAAGGAGAGCUGCCACAGAAGCCAUGAUGAUGGAGAGCAGGAAAUUUUCAUAUGAUCUUAGCAAGUCUAGUUAACAUCUUGCCAGGAGUUUUAUCAACCUGCUCUAUACAGAAGUUAUUAUAAAAUAUAUGCAAUCUAUCUUUUCAAACUAUGAUCACUAAUAUAAACAAAAUAUAUAUUUUUCAACAGAUUUGUCAUGAAAUCCAGCAACAUAAGACAACGCGGUAGCUAGCGGAUUGUGCCGACAAGGAAGACAUCGAGGUGCGUCGAUCCAUGCACGAAUCCACCUAAUACAAUUGAUAUAUGUAGCAGCCCCUGUUAUCAUCACGGUAGUCAGAUAUGUAUCUACUUGGGCAAAUUUCUCUCGCAGCAGGUGAGUAUUUGUAGGAAGAGGCGACGACAUUAAUUGGACCUGCCUAACCAAAAGGAGAGAUAUGACGACCUUAGUAAGAGUAGUUAGCAUCCUCGUGCUAGAAGUUUUAUCAUGACCAGUUCAGUGCAUAAAUCUAACAAUCUCGGUUGGCUUUCCUAGCUAGGUUCAUGACACCAAACCUCACCUGCCCCCUUUUGUUAGAGUAAACAGUGCAUCCAGUUACUAGGCUGGGUGGCCACACAUAAACUGAUUAAUUUGUCAGAGGUGCGAGUUGGUAGGUUUGUGAAUGAAAAGAUCAAGAUAUGUCCACCAGACAAAUAAAAUGCUUCUAUCACAAGCUUGUUACAAAGAACUAACUCAGAUAAUAUUUUUUUCUCAUAUAUUUAUGCAUAUUGUCUAUAUAUGUCGGAGCUGGUUUCUGGAAACUGGUUUGGUGUGCCUAGUUUCUGAAAUGUAGAAAAAAAAUCAUUUUUCUAGUUCUAAAUUUAAGAAGAAAAAAUAACUAUCAUAAGUUUUUUUAGAGAAUGAGCAUCCUCAUCAAUUUCCAUUAAACAAACGGCUAAUCAAGUUUAGAAGAGUUUGGAACCAAAAAGAAGCUAAAACAAGACAUGCAGGAAAAUAGGCUAUUUGCUAACCAAAAGAACAGGUUCACAGCGGGGGAACAAUAAACUAAGUCUCACAUGCACCAGAAAGGGAGAGACCACAAGAACAACUCUACUAAGAAACUUUUUCACAUUCAACUUUUCACACUGCAAUCCUGAGCACAAUCGGGUUCCAACCAUGGCCUCAAGCAUACUCCUCCCGAAUCACCAGAUUGAUCUUUAAGACCCCUUCUUCAACUCUUCCUCCGUCUCGUCGUUUCUGCAAAAUGCUCCAACUAUUAGGCUCUAGAAUAGAACAACAUGAUCAUCUAGGAUUUUUUAAAUUAAAGCAAGCAGAGUUCCUAGUUUCCAUAUAGUCCAAUGAAUUGUUGUCUGCCCCAUAGAUAACCAAUUUCCACUGAGACACGGGAAAAGAGUUAAUCCACACACUAGACAAUGGCGCCGGCAAUAACAACGGCGACGACAUGAUCAAUGGGGACGUCGAUGACCCCAACGAUGAAGAAUAUAAUUUGGAGGACAAGGAGGAAGGAAGCCUCCGCCCCCGAUGAGUAUGACGCUUUCGAGCAACCCCUUGAGGUACCCCAACUCAAAACUCUGUGCAAGCGGUUGGCUAGUACGACCAAAAGCAUCAAAAAGAAGUCCCAACGUCUCAAGACCGAAGAAGAUGAGCUAAACGACAUAUGGACCGAGCUCCUUAGGGCCGAGAGGAGGCCCAAGGGCAAGCUCGAACAGAUUGGUGCUAACAGAUCUUACCCCACAGAAACUUGCUGGACUAGUUGGACGCGGAGGCCGAGGACAGCGCGCUUUCAAAACGUGACUGGCUUGAAACCCUCGACCGUCCUCCCCGGGAUAGAGAUUGACAGAUAGGCACAGACAAAUAUGCCAUCGAGGCGCAUGGAGCCCGAGGUGGAGUCAACCCACCAGGGAUCACCACGAGAUACAAACCCAUGGAGAAGAGGCCCUUAAGCUCGGAAAACCCACAUCGAUCAAUCUAUUAGUCUAGGCAACGCCCACCUGCUGGACAAACAUGAUAUUUGGUGUAGCUAGCAAAGAACGGUGAUGUGCGUGACUACAAUUGCGACCGCAUAGUAACCAUGUCGGACGAACGCCACACGACUGCAAGUGUCUGAGGAGGUACACACCCUCGAUGCUUUACAGAUGAGAUCAUGCAACACCAGUUCCGUGCUAAUCCCAUAGGACCUAUUGGAUUUCCCCGAAGAGGAAGGGUGAUGUAGCACAACAGUAAAAUGUAUUUCCCUCAGUUAAGAAUCAACGUUUAUCGAACCAAUAGGAGUCCACAAGCUAGCAAGAUAAGCAGCACCCGCACGCAAAAAAAAAAAUGCUUGCACCCAACUUGGCAAGGGGUUGUCAAUCCCUUCGUCUUGCUAGUUACAAGGUUAAAAGCAAAUAGUGAUAGGCAAUGAUAUGUCAAAUGGCAAAUUAGUAAAGAGAGCAAUAAAGCAAUACAAAUAAUAAUAGAGAAUGGACCUGGGGCAAUAGGUUCACUAGUGACUUCUCUCUCGAAAGCAGGUAAUGGCAUAGUAAACACAUUAUUGUUGGGCAAUUGACAACUUCUUCCGGAUGAAAACUUGAUCUACAUGUUCGAGCGGUGGCGGCUAUCAGUGCUCGUACCCCUCUAGAAGACACCCUUUUUGAGUCCUAGCUUCAUUGUUGUUCGUCUCACCUCUUCGUUGUGGUUCAUGGUGAAGGUCUCCAUCGACGCCAAACGGUGUUCUUCGCAUAUCUGUAGUUAGCCUGGUAGCCGGUGGGGUGGUGUGUCAGUGGCCGACACCUUGUAUCUUGUCUUGCAUGUGUAUUGUGUCUGGUGAUGGUGUGUGUUUAUAUCGGUCUACUCGGUUGUAAUGCGGUGAUGGAUUCUUUAUAAUAUAAAGGAUGGAACUCCUUUUUCAUCAUAUCCAAUGGCUGACAUUAUAGUACCGCACAUGUAUUGCACACAAGCACUAUAUAUGUAGAAUUUCCCGAUGUGUUCAAUCAAACCAGCAAACUUAUAUUAAAUUACUAGAUAAUCGACUAUUGUAUCGGAGAAGGGAAAACAACCCCGAUUUUUCGUUUGUUAUGGGAAAUACGACGCAUAAUAUGCAAAAUAGCAUACAACAUUAUAUCAGAGUGAUGAAAAAAGAUAUUGUUGAUUAUUCAUAACAUUGAAAUACAUUCAUGGCUUACAGACAUACAAUGGCAUGACAUAUUCUCUAUUUAUUUUAUAGAUAAGGAUGCUUCAGAAGUUCAACCAAAUCCUUGGUUUAUGUACUAAUCUUCCGUGUAAUCAACAAAUGUCUGACUUAGUUGUGAUUGUUCUCCCAAAACUGAGCCUGGAGAUAGUCUAUUGUAUUCUUUUCCACCUGAAAUGCCUUGGCAAGAACAUCAUCUGAUAUUGGUGGGUCUGACCCAAACACUGCAUUGGCAAUUGUGAUAGCCCCUGGGUUCUGGCUGCUUAGCGCGGCAAUUGCAACAGCGGGCUGGUGGGGGUUGGGGUUGAAUUGGAAGUGGAUGAGCCCCACGGGGAAAACAAACACAUCACCUUUGUUGAGCACCUUGGAGAGGAACUUGUUUUUGUUGGGGGCGGGCUGGUUGGAUGUCACAAAGCCAACGUACAAUGUUCCCUCGAGCACCGUGAGGAUCUCAGUGGCGCGAGGGUGCGUAUGUGGUGGGUUUUGACCCAAGGGAGCAUAGUCGAUGCGUGCAAUUGAGAUGCCGAGGGUGUUGAGUCCUGCAAUCUGCAUGACGUUGAUCAAAGUGACGUUGGAUCCAACCUUGUUGGGCAUCCUAGGCUUGUCGAGGUUGGCCGCCUUGAAGAAGUCGUCCGCGUUGACCUCCAUCGGGUUCUUGCAAACAAACCCGUUGACACGGACUGGGGCACAAGAGAUGUACAUGUAAGCUCAGAUUUUACAAAGUUGUUUUGGCUUGCAUAUAAUUUCCAGAAAUAGAUUUCAACAUAUGUAUUUGGUGAAAACAUGAUAACAAAAUGGAUAGUAC